GUAAAAAUAUGCAUUUGACAAGACGGUAAUCCCAUAAAUGUACGCGCCACACACAGUGGAAGGUAAACAUAAGAUUAGUAUUUCACACAUAUUUAAUCGAAAACGUUAUGCGCGGCGGUUAAAAAAAUUCCCUAAUUAUAUCAGGAUCUAUGUACUGUACUACUGCAGUAGUAUUACUACUUCCUCUACUACGCAGUAUUUCCAUGUACUGCACUGCCUUUGUCUUCAGUGACUGUGUUUACAGUUUGUCGUUGAGCUCAACCUGAGGUGAGGCUCCUCUAAACUAUCGCACAGUAAAUAUCACGUGUAUUUGAACAUGUAUUGAAAUGCAGUUUGCAUCACUCAUUGGCUCCAGCAGCUGGAGGCUAGUAGUAGGUAGGAGGAGGGGGGAUGAGACAGCGGGAGGGGGAUGCAAGGUUGACUGCAAACCUUUUUUUCUCUCUCUGUUUUUGCAUGGGGGAGUUUAAAACGAGCAGAGAUCGUCGCUGAGUGAGUGAAAAAAAAAAGAAAAAAGUUUGGCUCCAACUUUGAGUUCGUCCUGUGCAGAAAAGCAGCAGCACUUGGUGUGUCAACGUGCUUUUUACUCUUCCCAGAUUGUUCACCACCAUGCCACCCAAGAGAGACGCAGGUGCGACUCCAGCACAGCCGCCCGUGAAGAUGAUAAAGAUCGAUAACGUUACAGAUGCACAAGAGUUUGGCUGUCAUUCAGGCGAGGAUAAGUUCAGGCUCCAUGAAGAGGCCAGCUACUCACCUUAUCCCAACAAUGACAGAUGAACACUCUCAUGAUGCAGAUGAGGCACACGGCACAUGAACUGCGGGUCACCCUGGAUCAUGUUCUCCACGGAGGCGAAGCAGCAGUUGCGCCACAAAACUCUGAUGAAACUAUCUCUUUCCUGACUGAGCCUGAGGCAGAAAUGAGAGCACUUCAUAAUAUACCAGAGGAUGACCACAAUUUCCUCUAUCUCUCAGAGAAUCUUCGAGUGCCAAAAAAUCUUUAUGAGCGCAUUGCAGAAAUUGCAGACUACAAGAAGUACACUUCAGCCCUGCUCAUGAUACUUUUUGAUAGAGAAACGCUGGCAACCCACUCUCUGCAGGGCCGUAGGAAUACCUUUACAGGAGAGGAUUGCCACAAGCCACAGCUCCCACCUGAGAUUUUGAAAAGUUUAAUCGAUCAUGUGGCAGCCAAGUUCAGUGUUGACAGCAGCCAAAUAAAAACCGCAAUCCGCACAAAGUUGAACAAUGAGGAUAAAUUAUUGAAGAAGAGACUGGGGUUGGGUAAAACAGAAAACAGAGCUAAUGCUGAGCCAAGCUUUUGCCAAGAUGCCUCGCUUCUGCCCGACGACGGAGCAAUGACAAGUGACUCUCAGUUAUAGUCGUUCACCUCUGUCUUCGUCCGUUGGUCACACGUAUUUCAUGUCCGAUAGAAAUAGGUCACAGAUUGCCUUUUUUGUCCACUAUAGUUCAUUCAGCAUUAAAAUCUAGUUCUUUAUUUUUUAAGAAUGAUAAGUAUAUAUAUUUUUACGUUGACAGCAGUUAAUGUCUGUUAGAUUGUUUUCAGAGUGUCACCUGGUGGCCACACCCAGGCGUUUGAUAGCACUAUAAACUGCCGCAUAUGUAAUCAUUAAUACUGUAAACAAGUGUUCUUAGGUUUUCUUACUGUAUUUAAGAGAGUGGUUAUAGGUUAAUAACCUUUUAAGCUAGAAUCAGUCAGUCAGCUGACCUUUACAUGUGUAAGUAGGACAGGGAUCUCAUUUUUGCCCUGUUGUUCAUUCCAACUUGUGCAUUGCAGGUAAUAAUGUGUUUCAAGGUAUACUGUAUGUGAUAACUGUUUCAAAGUGUUUGUCAUGUGUUUUCUGUGCUUCACUCUAACAAACAAUAAAGUUUUGCAGCUGA
This is a long non-coding RNA of Oreochromis aureus, 1893 nucleotides long. The record is from Ensembl. Lineage: Eukaryota; Metazoa; Chordata; Actinopteri; Cichliformes; Cichlidae.